This 274-nucleotide ribosomal RNA is filed under the name uncultured bacterium. RNAcentral describes it as "partial 16S ribosomal RNA". It matches the Rfam family "Bacterial small subunit ribosomal RNA", at positions 523 to 796 of the family's 1533-position model. The record is from RNAcentral.
AUACGGAGGGUCCGAGCGUUAAUCGGAAUUACUGGACGUAAAGCGCGCGUAGGUAGAUGUAUAAGUCAGAUGUGAAAGCCCUGGGCUCAACCUAGGAACUGCAUUUGAAACUGUACGUCUAGAGUAUGGUAGAGGUGAGUGGAAUUUCAGGUGUAGCGGUGAAAUGCGUAGAGAUCUGAAGGAACAUCAGUGGCGAAGGCGACUCACUGGGCCAUUACUGACACUGAGGUGCGAAAGCGUGGGUAGCAAACAGGAUUAGAAACCCUAGUAGUCC